Molecule: long non-coding RNA, 1762 nt
Organism: Lynx canadensis (Canada lynx)
Lineage: Eukaryota; Metazoa; Chordata; Mammalia; Carnivora; Felidae
Exons: 2
Source: RefSeq, a predicted model, not a curated record
ACCAGAAGCAUCACCGUGGAGAGGUAUAGGUUCCAGCCCAAGGCUAUCUGGAUGAACAGGGCUCCAGAGAAGAUGUCAGUCUGCAGAGAGCCGGGACCCAGGAGUCCAGGUCACCUGAGGCCCUCGCUGUGGCCACCAGGGUAUGAUGCCUCCUGCUCAGCCAUACCAAGUGCUGUCAGCCCUCAUCACAUAAUGAGGCUGAGCCUAAAGUGCCAUGCUGAGGAGAAUGGGCUUGGCCUCAGGGAUUCUGAGGAGCCGUGGAGAUUUUCAGGCAGAGGAGCACCGCAUAAAACUUUGAAACCGAGAGCAAUGAGGUCUGGUGGCACUGAUGGGAUAGUCUGUGGGCCGUGAUGGCAGGGGGGAAGGAAUGAAGGGAAGACAGAGGAGAGGAAGUGGGGAGCAGGGGUUGGAGAAGAGAGAGCAGGCACCCAGAGGCCCUCUUUUCCCUAGCAGAGCAGAGGCCCGCCCAGCUGCCAGGGGGCCCACGCUGACCAGACGGGUAGGAGCCCCAGGACAGAUGACCGCACUUCUGGAGGCUCUACAUGUUUGGGUUUAUUAGAGGACCCGGCUGACCAGACAACAUGCUGACUUAGGCUUGUUUUCCAGCAUUGGUGGACAAGUGGCUGUACCAUUUUUCCCAUCUCUCGACCUGGCAGCUCGUGGACUCAGUCCCCUUCAGUGCCUGCUUGCUGAUCCCAUUGCAUGGCUGUUUCAUGAACCCAUCCCAGGGCUACAACAGGACGGAGUGCCAGGACGCCUGGACCAGGUCACAGGACCCAAACUUUAGUUCAGUCCCACAGCUCUAUUCUGUGUGGACAUGGGCGAACCAUCUGCCCUAGGUUUGUUUUCGGAGUGUAGGUCAGAGGAGGAGGAAUAAGGAUCUUUUGAACAGUGACAUGUAGGCAACAAAUUCAUGGUGCUUAAUGGAGGAUCAGUUAAUGGAGAGAGAAAUGAAUGAAUGCACUCUAGAUUAGGAAUUAUUUAAAUAGACGCACUGUCAUUUACUUAACAGGUACUUCUCAUUCAUCUGUGAUCGCUCCACUGCUGAGGGAGAGCGUGCAUUGAAGUAUAGGAAACUGAGUCCCGAGAAGAGACAUGUUUAUUCCAAGCCACAAAGUGGGGCAGGAAUUCACACUCCUGCCCUGUGCUGUGACAGAUGAGUGAUCCUGGGAAGGACACGGAGCACGCCGGAUCCAGGGAAGACCAGCUGCCCCAGGGCCCAGGCAGACUGCUAGUCCCAGCAGCCCAGCCCACUGAGCUGCAGAGUGACCAUGGACAGGUCACUAAGUGACUCCAGACCUGGGGUCCCGUCAGCGUGGCCUAUACCCUGCCCACCUCGCAGGGCCAGUGAGUGCCGGUCCUCCUAUCCUCCCCUCUGGAAGUUACCCUUAGGGUUCCACUGCCCACACGCCCUGUCCCCCAGCCCCAUCCUCACAGACGCCCGAUGCCAAGCCCUCACCCUGCACAUUUUACCUAACCUAAACCAGCAGGCUGGGCCCAUAGCAGCCAUCCCUCUGAUGCAUCUGAGACCCAUCUGUUAGCCAGCCAGACAUCUUAGCAGCCCAGAGCCAAGAGAGUGCCAGGAAGGAAGUGAGAGAGGUUUUGAAACCUUCAGAAUAGACGCUGUGAAGCUUAUACAUGAAGGCCACCCGCUGACGCAUCGGUGAGCCCCAGAUCCCCCACUCAGGGCCUGUCUUGUUUUGCUUCGCCUAGAGUGUUAUUUUGUGCUGCAGCUCACAGCAAAUUAAAAACAACAACUUAA